RNAcentral lists this ribosomal RNA (94 nucleotides) under Furfurilactobacillus milii. The record is from RNAcentral. Lineage: Bacteria; Bacillati; Bacillota; Bacilli; Lactobacillales; Lactobacillaceae.
UACACCCGUUCCCAUGCCGAACACGGAAGUUAAGCUUCGUCGCGCCAAGAGUAGUUGGGGGAUCGCUCCCUGCGAGGGUAGGUCGUCGCCAUGC